GGACGUUGGUGCUGAGCUUCAGUUUCAGGAAGUAUUCGUCAAAGGAGGAGACUUCCUCUGACUGCAGCUUCACGGUGAUGCCGCCAACAGCCUCCUGCUCAUAUCCUUCGACCACCUCCACACGGUCUUAGGAAACACCCAUAGUACGACUGGUGAUGAGUUGACAGUCCACAAAGAAGACGCGUGAGGUCCUGCAUAUGAAGAAAAUGAAAAUGACAGACCCUGUUACUGAACAAACCUGCCAAUUAGGAGAAACUCUCCAGCUACUCCAAGUCGUCUCA
Long non-coding RNA from Cynoglossus semilaevis (tongue sole), 281 nucleotides. RefSeq lists it as uncharacterized. The transcript is spliced from 3 exons. Lineage: Eukaryota; Metazoa; Chordata; Actinopteri; Pleuronectiformes; Cynoglossidae. The record is from RefSeq and is a predicted model, not a curated record.